Molecule: ribosomal RNA, 520 nt
Filed under: uncultured bacterium
Lineage: Bacteria
Description: bacterial SSU rRNA
Rfam family: Archaeal small subunit ribosomal RNA
Source: RNAcentral
AACCUCCGCAAUGUGAGAAAUCGCGACGGGGGGAUCCCAAGUGCCGUUCUUAACGGGAUGGCUUUUCAUUAGUGUAAAGAGCUUUUGGAAUAAGGGCUGGGCAAGACCGGUGCCAGCCGCCGCGGUAACACCGGCAGCUCUAGUGGUAGCAGUUUUUAUUGGGCCUAAAGCGUCCGUAGCCGGUUUAAUAAGUCUCUGGUGAAAUCCUGUAGCUUAACUGUGGGAAUAGCUGGAGAUACUAUUAGACUUGAGACCGGGAGAGGUUAGAGGUACUCCCAGGGUAGAGGUGAAAUUCUGUAAUCCUGGGAGGACCGCCUGUUGCGAAGGCGUCUAACUGGAACGGUUCUGACGGUGAGGGACGAAAGUUAGGGGCGCGAACCGGGAUUAGAUACCCGGGUAGUCCUAACUGUAAACGAUGCGGACUUGGUGUUGGGUGGCUUUGAGCUGCUCCAGUGCGAAGGGAAGCUGUUAAGUCCGCCGCCUGGGAAGUACGGUCGCAAGACUGAAACUUAAAGGAAUU